This 256-nucleotide ribosomal RNA is filed under the name uncultured bacterium. RNAcentral's name for it is "partial 16S ribosomal RNA". It matches the Rfam family "Bacterial small subunit ribosomal RNA", at positions 521 to 776 of the family's 1533-position model. The record is from RNAcentral.
UAAUACGAAGGGGGCUAGCGUUGUUCGGAAUUACUGGGCGUAAAGCGCACGCAGGCGGUUCGGUCAGUCAGAAGUGAAAGCCCCGGGCUUAACCUGGGAACUGCUUUUGAUACUGCCGAGCUUGAAUCACGGAGAGGGUAGUGGAAUUCCGAGUGUAGAGGUGAAAUUCGUAGAUAUUCGGAAGAACACCAGUGGCGAAGGCGACUACCUGGCCGUCGAUUGACGCUCAUGUGCGAAAGCGUGGGGAGCAAACAGG